CUGAUCAGAUCUGCUCAGCUUUUAGAAUCUGUUGUAUUUGCUUAAAUCUCCCUGUAAGACUUCUUUUAAACAAAGGACUCCCUGGUAUUAAAAAAAAGUUUGAAAAUUAGUUCUCUAAGGAAAACAACCUCAUUGUUGCCACAGAUGCAACUGAUGAAUACAGAGCCUAAAAGUAUUAAAGGAAAAUUCAUCAUUAAAUCUGUCUGUUUCACAGGACAAAUUUAAAAUUGCUGGAGUCUCUAGCAUUCCAUAAUGAAAGACCUUGAGAGAGAUCUGAGUCCUGGGAUGUCUGCCCAUCUUGCUGCUUGCGGAUCCCCUGAUUUGAGAGAAGCUUCCAGAGUACCACUUGCUUUUGGUAAGACACUUCCAUCCUUCUUUCUGUUCACCAAGAUGCAGCUCCAGAACUUUAAAGGGUGCCUAUAAAACUCCCAGUCUCCUGUUUUCAUAUGGCUCCUAGCCAAUGAGUGUGUCAUCUCUCACAAGGAGAUGUCAAGCAGCAAACAGUCCAACUGCUAACUUCUCUCUUUCCAGUUCAUUUUCAUUAGUGUCCCUAUUCUAGUUAUUCACUAACCCCAUCUAGACCUCCAAGUCGUUUGCAAUUUAUCACAUCCUCCUGUGUCCCCGCCAUACAUCACCAGCCUGAGUCCAUUACUACAAUCAGUCCUUUGCAUACACUCUCAACUCUCCAGACAAUGGGACAGUAAACUAAGGUCCCCGGGCCAAAUCAGCCUGCUGUUUAUAUAAAUACCAUUUAACUGGAACACAGCCACACUCAUUAGUUUAUGUAUUGUCUUUGGCUGCUUUUGCACUGAAAUGGUGAGCUGAACAGUUGUGACAGAGACUGUAUGGCCCACAAAGCAAACUUAAAAUAUUUACUGUCUGACCCUUUACAAGAAAGGUUUUCUAAUCUAUGCCCAACACUGUCUAUCAUAUUCACUUGGAAUGACUCAAGUUCUGUAUCUAUUGCUUCCUGCCUGUGAGCAGCAGGAUGGGCUGAGCAAAAGCCCAAGCAUAAACUCAAUAUGCUCGGUAUAAAUUUAAAGCCAUAGUUUUCAAGUAUUUCUUCAACAUUGCUCAAAAGUUCACUUUAAUUCCCUCAUCAGUUAAUGAUUCCACUCUCUGAGAUGACCAUUGCACAUCUCCUUUCUCAAAACUGAUCACCUCUUUCCUCUUCACACUCUUAGAUGAUGACUUUUCUUCUCAUUUCACUUAAAAAAAAAAUAGUAACUUAGGAAAAGAAAUACCCUGCCUUCCUUCCAUCAAGUUUACCAACCUACUGACAUCUCUGCCCAUCUUCUCUGUGUGCCUUCUCACAAUACUUAAACCCCCUCUUCCCAUUAUAUGAGGCCAACCACUUGAUGUGUGUUUGUAUCUCAGAUACUCAAGGACUUUGAUCCAGUAAUUAUUUUCCCUUUUUCCUCUCUCAUCA
This 1429-nucleotide long non-coding RNA is filed under the name Canis lupus familiaris (dog). RNAcentral's name for it is "lncRNA (ENSCAFG00000057526.1)". Lineage: Eukaryota; Metazoa; Chordata; Mammalia; Carnivora; Canidae. The record is from RNAcentral.